Centrocercus urophasianus (Greater sage-grouse) is the source of this 3131-nucleotide long non-coding RNA. RefSeq lists it as uncharacterized. The record is from RefSeq and is a predicted model, not a curated record. Lineage: Eukaryota; Metazoa; Chordata; Aves; Galliformes; Phasianidae. The transcript is spliced from 5 exons.
UGCAUCUUCUCCUAGACCCCAUUUAAGGGCUGACUGCCACUGGGGAAGGAUCUCUUUCUGGAGAUUCCUCAUCUGUGGAGUCUUUCCUGCAAACCUAGAUCUUCAGAUACAGGGAAGGAUAUGCAUCAGUUCAGCUCCAUUCUGAAGCUUGUUAAACCUGUUCCAUACCUGGGUUUUAGGCUGUCUUCACUUAAGGGCCUUUGAGUCCUCUCCUGCACUGUGUAGUUAGUAGCUAUCAGUGGACAUCUGGUGUGUUAUCCCCAUCCCUGCAGAAAUGGGUUUAUUGUGCUUGCUGCGGAAAAGGGCUUAUGUUGAAGAAAAGACUGAAUCCCUACCUUCUAUAUAUGAAAUGCAUUCCAUACAUUGAGAGCAGGCAGCCAGGCUGGAUCACCAGCAGUGUACCUGCUCAGCAAGCACGGCAGCUCCAGAGGAUGUAGAAGUGAAAAAACAAGCUGUGGCAGGCAGCUGGGGCAAAUGAAUGAGAAGGGAAAUGGCAAAAGAGCAAACCAGUGGGACACAUCAGCACAGGUGAAUUUAUUUCUUGUCCACAUCAAAAUGCAGAGACUGCUCCAUUCAUCAGGUCCAUGGCAUACAAAGGAGAUACUAUCAGCAUGUAUCUUCUAUCCUAGCAAGGAAAACUGAGAAUCAGAAGAAGCAUUCAGCAAGCAAACAGGAACAGAUGCCUGAAAGAUCUCGUAUCAGCAGAUAUAGUAUCAAUAAACCAGUAAGUAACAAAUGACAGCACUGACAUCUUUCCUAUACGUACUGAAAUACAAGCCCAGCCAAUGAUGACAUCUGACUCUAAGAACGAGUUCAGAAAGACUCCACUGGGGGCUGGGACAUGAUGAACAUAUGACAGAACAGUGAUAAUAAGCAUCGUGCCCCUUGCCCACAACAAACUUCUCUUCUGAAUAGACAGAUGUCAAUUUGACCCAAUUGGUUUUUAAAAAGAGCUCAUUUUGUAAUGCAUAUCUGUGUAUCUCUCUUUCUCUUCUUUAAGUGUAUGUAAACACACAUAAGCAGAUACAAAUGUCUAUUUCUGUCCUCAGGGUGGAAUGGCUUGUAGGUAAAAUACCUGUAAACGAAGCCUCCUCCCAACAGUCCCAGGUAUGCACUGCAGAUGCUGUUGCAAAGGACAGAAGCAUCAGCACCAUUCACCUUGUGUUUUCUUGUCCUUGUAUUCAAGAAAAAAUCUCCCUAUAAUUAGAAAGCAGAAUUAGUACUGAAACAAUUUUCACAUCACUGGUCCUUCAGCCUCCUCAGAUAUUAUUUGUGGUAUCUGCUUUCUUGCAAGAGGAUGGGACCAAAUAAAAGCAAUCACAAGGAUGGAAAUGUUCUCAGCAGGAGGAAAAGGGAUUAUAAAAAAGCAGAGGAAAAUGACUUCUGAAUGUUUUGUAGUCCUGAGCAUCCAUAUGCCAUUUGAGCUAUGUAGAGUGUUAACAGAUCUAAAAAUAAAGAAUACAUUAUUUAUUAACUUAUUAGAGCUUUUAGAAAAUAGGAGCUGAAUUCACUUAGCUAAUAAGCUACCUCAGAUCACAUCCAUUGGAAGAUAUAUUCGUAUGAAUUGGAUGAGGUGUGCAUUUGGUCUUUAUGAGGCCACUUAGGAACCUAAAGUUACUUUUUUCUUCUAGGAAAAAUACACGGAAUAGUUCCAUUUUCAAAUAUUUUAUGAAGUCUAUAUGCUAUUCUAUAUCUGCCCCUGUCCAUGCUCUUCCCUACAUAAGUUUGUGUAAUUCCAGUUUUAUUUCAGAACAAGAUUUGUUUGUAAUCUGAAGGAUGUGAUAUCACAGAGCAGAUUAAAGCAAGAAAAUAUGCUGUUGAGAACAUAGCAUGAAGGCUAUUUACUGGGGGUCUCAUGAUCUUCCAGCCCUUUAUGAUGAGCAGAACAAGCCAGUGAAUGUACCAGGAUGUAAAGAGUUUACAGUCUUGACAGCAUGGACCUGCUCUCUCAGACCACAUUCCCGCACAGCCUGCAUUUAUAUUCAUGUCUCUGUCUAGCUAUGCUGAAUGGAGGGAGAUUAGCAAGGUGGGCUAGAGUGCUGUCAUGGUGUCUUGUGCUGCGGUCAGAUGUCUUUUGCAGUCCAAGGAAAGAGCUUCACGGGUUCCUGGAGAGGCCUGGUCUGUCUCCGCACUGCUCUGAAGGAUAUAGGCCAGGUUCAGAAGCAAGGCACGGGUCUUGAAUAUUUUCAUAAUUUUUGCAUUAACUAGCAAAGUGAGAACUACUCUUGUUAAAAGUCAUUUCAUCCGCAUACAUGGAGGUUACAUCAAAGGCAACAGGAGAUGAGGACUUCAGAGUCUAUGCUGCCUUUUCCGGGCUGUUAGGCUGGAUAAUCCUGGAAAAGGCUUCCCUUUAGUCCAAGGCAAAUUCAGAGUAGGAGCCCAGGCCUAGUCUUCCACAGGUACUGAGUAAAGCUCUGCUCUUACCCUUCUCCCAUGCUCCAGCCGUUCAUUUCCCUGACCUGGUGACAAUCAUCCCUGCUCUGCACACCUGGGCCAACUCAGGAUGAACCACUUGUAUGGAGAAGAAGGGCAGACAAGGAGAAAGGACGUAUCAGAAUUAUGGAGAUCAUCUUCCGCAAAGGGAAAAAUCCUUGAUGAAGAAGAAAGGCCAUAAACUACAUAAAAGUUUAUUUAGUGACUAAGGAGGAAGAGAAAAAACAUAUAUAUUCUCUACAGCUCUUACUUUCAAUACAUGCAUUACAUAUUAUUUAUUUACAUAAUUACCCAUUGGUAUAGCUUUUUUUACAACUUCACUUGGAAAACUAUGCUGUGCGUUGGCCUAAGCAUCCAGUCUGAAUGCAGAAGUGCCAUCUGGGUGCCUAGAAAUAAUUUCUGGUGCCAUUGGUCAAUUUUAAUUGUAUUUGACAGGCUGAUGUUUGAGAGAGGAAGUUUCUUCCAGUUAUUUCAAGCAAACAGUGGGUAGGUACAACAAACACCAGUGGCUGUUCCAGGCUGAAAGCUAAACUCAGCCUUAGAGAAAAGAAGAGGGCUUUACCUCUUAGUGUAGGCUUUAUGUUUUUUGUGAUGCAUAGAAUUACUUAUUGUAUGAUUUGCUUUCAUUACAUUUUUUCCAGAUGUCCAGAUAUUGUAGCAUGCAAUGUAAUUGAAAGAACAACCAUUACCCGUGUUUU